This 220-nucleotide long non-coding RNA is filed under the name Sorghum bicolor (sorghum). Its description in RNAcentral is "long non-coding RNA (SBIC_LNC003092)". Lineage: Eukaryota; Viridiplantae; Streptophyta; Magnoliopsida; Poales; Poaceae. The record is from RNAcentral.
AGAUUGGUUAAUAGUGUGGUAUGGAGGAUGUCUCAGUAAAGUGAAAAGCCUCAGUAAUGUUUAGGGGUAGCUACAGCUCUUUUUGUUAGCUUGAUGAAUAUUCAAGAUGUUGAAAUGGCUAUGUUCUUUGUCAUUUUGGACAUGUGACUUAGAUGUAGCGUGAUGUAUAUUGCUACCUGGAUGUAUGAGUUUGACAAUAUAAUUUUUUGCAACCUGGGAA